CUCCCUCUCAUGGGACCCUUGGAAGCAACUGUUAGGACAAAGUGGUUGCCAAGGCAGUGACCUCAUUCAGUUCCUGAAGGAAGUGACCUCACCUCACUUCCUUGGUGAUGGAACUCUCUGAACUUGGGAUCCAGGAAGCCAGACACCCAGAGCCAGUCCCAGUGCCAGUUCCAGUGGUCUCACUUGUUUGGAUUUACCAAAGACAGAGUCAGUCUUUCUUGGUACCUACUUAUGUGAAGAUGGCCAAAUGCCAGGAAAGCUCUGAAGAGGGGACGUUCCUGAGAAAGCAGAUAGAAGCACUAGAGAACCUUUGGAUGUCCUGUUGCUCAUCAGGACUGAACCAGACAGUGCCUUGAUUGACUGGGUUUCAUCAAAAUGGUGUAGAACAGAGAUGCAGGCAGGGUUAAAAUUACUACCAGCUUCUUCCAUGACCUGAAAAAUCAACUGGAAGAAUUAACCAUCUCUAAAAAUGAAGGCUUAAAAACAGUGAUAUAUUUUGUGUUAAAUUUCAACACCUCUGUGGGACUACCAAAAAGUGAGACUUCAAAGAAAAUCUUCAGCCUCUGAGCCACCUCAAGAUCAAACUGGUACCCACAAAGUAAAUAAAUGCCUCAGCUCUCAGGAAGGUAGAGUCAGGACAUCAGUUACCACUAGGUGUGACA
Non-coding RNA from Ictidomys tridecemlineatus (thirteen-lined ground squirrel), 662 nucleotides. Lineage: Eukaryota; Metazoa; Chordata; Mammalia; Rodentia; Sciuridae. The record is from RefSeq and is a predicted model, not a curated record.